UCCACCCCUAGAGGCAUUGCAGGUGUAGCUGUGGUGUCACAUGCGGGUCAGUAGGUGUCAGAGGGAUGAGAUGCUAUGUUACACUCAGUGUUCUGACCCAUGAACAUCCGAAUGAUUAGUAGCCUAAUAUU
Small nucleolar RNA from Acomys russatus (golden spiny mouse), 131 nucleotides. RefSeq annotates it as small nucleolar RNA SNORA17. Lineage: Eukaryota; Metazoa; Chordata; Mammalia; Rodentia; Muridae. The record is from RefSeq and is a predicted model, not a curated record. The transcript has a single exon.